AUGAUCCUCCUGUUCUCUUGGAUCUUCGCCACAGGUUUUUUCUUUUAUGCCAAACAAAAUGGUCUCUUCAUUGUUGAAAGGGCUGGUAAAUGCCAAGAGAAUUCUCCUGCUGUAAAUGACAUUUUUGCUCUACCACUUCUUUUCAUCCAACUGAGUGAGCUCCAGCUACGUCCGUGGAAACGACGGCAGACUUUAUUUUUGGGGGCUCCAAAAUCACUGCAGAUGGUGACUGCAGCUAUGAAAUUAAAAGACACUUGCUCCUUGGAAGAAAAGUUAUGACCAACCUAGACAGUGUAUUAAAAAGCAGAGACAUUACUUUGCCAACAAAGGUCCGUCUAGUCAAGGCUAUGGUUUUUUCAGUGGUCAUGUAUGGAUGUGAGAGUUAGACUGUGAAUAAAGCUGAGUGCCGAAAAAUUGAUGCUUUUGAA
Molecule: long non-coding RNA, 428 nt
Filed under: Bos indicus x Bos taurus (hybrid cattle)
Lineage: Eukaryota; Metazoa; Chordata; Mammalia; Artiodactyla; Bovidae
Description: lncRNA (ENSBIXG00005018294.1)
Source: RNAcentral